RNAcentral lists this ribosomal RNA (896 nucleotides) under Laimydorus sp. Its description in RNAcentral is "SSU rRNA". It matches the Rfam family "Eukaryotic small subunit ribosomal RNA", at positions 49 to 946 of the family's 1831-position model. The record is from RNAcentral. Lineage: Eukaryota; Metazoa; Nematoda; Enoplea; Dorylaimida; Dorylaimidae.
CCAUGCAUGUCUAAGCACAUGCCUUAAUACGGUGAAGCCGCGAAUAGCUCAUUACAACAGCCACUGUUUACUAGAAAAUAGUUAUCCUACUUGGAUAACUGUGGCAAUUCUAGAGCUAAUACAUGCAAUUAUGCUCUGCCCGCAAGGAACGAGCGCAUUUAUUAGAAUAAAAACCAAUCGGGUCUCGGCCCGUAGUUUGGUGAAUCUGAAUAACUUUGCCAAUCGCACAGUCCUAGUACUGGCGAUAUAUCUUUCAAGUGUCUGCCUUAUCAACUUUCGAUGGUAGGUUAUACGCCUACCAUGGUAGUAACGGGUAACGGAGAAUAAGGGUUCGACUCCGGAGAGGGAGCCUGAGAAACGGCUACCACAUCCAAGGAAGGCAGCAGGCGCGCAAAUUACCCACUUCCAGAACGGAGAGGUAGUGACGAAAAAUAACGAGACAGUCCUCUUCGAGGUCUGUCAUCGGAAUGGGUACAAUUUAAAUCCUUUAACGAGGAUCUAUUGGAGGGCAAGUCUGGUGCCAGCAGCCGCGGUAAUUCCAGCUCCAAUAGCGUAUAUUAAAGUUGUUGCGGUUAAAACGCUCGUAGUUGGAUCUGCGGCCUCGGAGAACGGUCCCCCGAAAGGGCGGUCACUGUCUCUCCUAGCCUAAAUUCGAGUCGUCUCUAGGUGCUCUUUACCGAGUGCUUAGAGUGACUAGAACGUUUACUUUGAAAAAAUUAGAGUGCUUAAAGCAGGCGUAAUAGCCUGAAUAAGGUGCAUGGAAUAAUGGAAUAGGACCUCGGUUCUAUUUUGUUGGUUUUCGGAACCUGAGGUAAUGAUUAAGAGGAACAGACGGGGGCAUUUGUAUUCCGGCGCUAGAGGUGAAAUUCUUGGACCGCCGGAAGACAAACGACUGC